This 253-nucleotide ribosomal RNA is filed under the name uncultured bacterium. Its description in RNAcentral is "partial 16S ribosomal RNA". It matches the Rfam family "Bacterial small subunit ribosomal RNA", at positions 524 to 776 of the family's 1533-position model. The record is from RNAcentral.
UACGGAGGGUGCAAGCGUUAUCCGGAUUCACUGGGUUUAAAGGGUGCGUAGGUGGGUAAGUAAGUCAGUGGUGAAAUCUCCGGGCUUAACUCGGAAACUGCCGUUGAUACUAUCUGUCUUGAAUAUCGUGGAGGUUAGCGGAAUAUGUCAUGUAGCGGUGAAAUGCUUAGAUAUGACGUAGAACACCGAUUGCGAAGGCAGCUAACUACACGAUCAUUGACACUGAGGCACGAAAGCGUGGGGAGCAAACAGG